Molecule: long non-coding RNA, 329 nt
Filed under: Sorghum bicolor (sorghum)
Lineage: Eukaryota; Viridiplantae; Streptophyta; Magnoliopsida; Poales; Poaceae
Description: long non-coding RNA (SBIC_LNC003940)
Source: RNAcentral
GGAGAAGUUGGCCGGCACGCCGGAGGUGAGGUCGGUGUAGACGAGGCCGAUGCCCGGGACGCGCACCAUGCCUAGCUUGUCGCCCAGCGCCAGCAGCCACUCCAGGGUCACCUUGUUGUGCAUGUCGUACUCGUACUUCCUGAUCGUGGUGUAGUGCCACACGAACAUGAUGGCGAGCAGGAUGAGUGCCAGGAAGAUCGGCAGCCACGCGCCUUCCAGGAACUUGAUCAGCGACGCCGAGAAGUAGAGCGCCUCGAUGGAGCCGAAGAAGAGGAAGAAGGCGAGCGCCAGCCAUGGGGAUCGGUCCCAGCACAGCAUGAUCACCAGGG